GAUGAACGCUGGCGGCGUGCCUAAUACAUGCAAGUCGAGCGAACGGACGAGAAGCUUGCUUCUCUGAUGUUAGCGGCGGACGGGUGAGUAACACGUGUAUAACCUACCUAUAAGACUGGGAUAACUUCGGGAAACCGGAGCUAAUACCGGAUAAUAUUUUGAACCGCAUGGUUCAAAAGUGAAAGACGGUCUUGCUGUCACUUAUAGAUGGAUCCGCGCUGCAUUAGCUAGUUGGUAAGGUAACGGCUUACCAAGGCAACGAUGCAUAGCCGACCUGAGAGGGUGAUCGGCCACACUGGAACUGAGACACGGUCCAGACUCCUACGGGAGGCAGCAGUAGGGAAUCUUCCGCAAUGGGCGAAAGCCUGACGGAGCAACGCCGCGUGAGUGAUGAAGGUCUUCGGAUCGUAAAACUCUGUUAUUAGGGAAGAACAUAUGUGUAAGUAACUGUGCACAUCUUGACGGUACCUAAUCAGAAAGCCACGGCUAACUACGUGCCAGCAGCCGCGGUAAUACGUAGGUGGCAAGCGUUAUCCGGAAUUAUUGGGCGUAAAGCGCGCGUAGGCGGUUUUUUAAGUCUGAUGUGAAAGCCCACGGCUCAACCGUGGAGGGUCAUUGGAAACUGGAAAACUUGAGUGCAGAAGAGGAAAGUGGAAUUCCAUGUGUAGCGGUGAAAUGCGCAGAGAUAUGGAGGAACACCAGUGGCGAAGGCGACUUUCUGGUCUGUAACUGACGCUGAUGUGCGAAAGCGUGGGGAUCAAACAGGAUUAGAUACCCUGGUAGUCCACGCCGUAAACGAUGAGUGCUAAGUGUUAGGGGGUUUCCGCCCCUUAGUGCUGCAGCUAACGUAUUAAGCACUCCGCCUGGGGAGUACGACCGCAAGGUUGAAACUCAAAGGAAUUGACGGGGACCCGCACAAGCGGUGGAGCAUGUGGUUUAAUUCGAAGCAACGCGAAGAACCUUACCAAAUCUUGACAUCCUUUGACAACUCUAGAGAUAGAGCUUUCCCCUUCGGGGGACAAAGUGACAGGUGGUGCAUGGUUGUCGUCAGCUCGUGUCGUGAGAUGUUGGGUUAAGUCCCGCAACGAGCGCAACCCUUAAGCUUAGUUGCCAUCAUUAAGUUGGGCACUCUAAGUUGACUGCCGGUGACAAACCGGAGGAAGGUGGGGAUGACGUCAAAUCAUCAUGCCCCUUAUGAUUUGGGCUACACACGUGCUACAAUGGACAAUACAAAGGGCAGCGAAACCGCGAGGUCAAGCAAAUCCCAUAAAGUUGUUCUCAGUUCGGAUUGUAGUCUGCAACUCGACUACAUGAAGCUGGAAUCGCUAGUAAUCGUAGAUCAGCAUGCUACGGUGAAUACGUUCCCGGGUCU
RNAcentral lists this ribosomal RNA (1372 nucleotides) under uncultured bacterium. RNAcentral describes it as "bacterial SSU rRNA". It matches the Rfam family "Bacterial small subunit ribosomal RNA", at positions 28 to 1381 of the family's 1533-position model. The record is from RNAcentral.